Peromyscus maniculatus bairdii (prairie deer mouse) is the source of this 5229-nucleotide long non-coding RNA. RefSeq lists it as uncharacterized. The record is from RefSeq and is a predicted model, not a curated record. Lineage: Eukaryota; Metazoa; Chordata; Mammalia; Rodentia; Cricetidae.
GCUCCUACAGAUCUUAUUGCAGAAGUACAUCCAGCCUUCCAUAUCUUCCAAAUGGGAGAUUUUAGGGAGCAAAAUCAACCCUGCAGGGAACAUGAAUAACUGUUUCUUCUCUUGGCACUUCCUAAACCCCAUGGUGUGGCAGCUGCUGGCCUUGUGUUCUCUAUCAGGUAGAGGAUUGAUCCAGAGGGCUUGAAAGCACUUGUAUUGGAUUAUACACAGGCACUGCAUCUCUUUGUGAAAUAGAUUUGUGCAUCUUAGGAGUUCAGUAUCCUGGGGAUCCUGGAACUACCUCCUGUGGCUACUGAGGGAUGAGUGUGGUUGUAGUUUCAGUACUGCUUAAGAAACUGAGGUAGAAGCAGCAAAUUCAAGAUCAUCAGUACUCCCAGAUAGAGCAUUCCCACAUCUCCCGGGAGAGCAAACACCUGCAUUGUGAAACAUGCCUUCAUCCUGUUCUUGCCUCUGAGCCUGCAGGGGUCUCCAUGGACUCCGGGAGCCUUGUGAUGCUCACACGACUCCUUUGAAAGAAGCUUCCAGUCAUUUGCCUUUACUACUCUGGGUUCUGGCUCUGGGUUUGUGGCUAUGCGAGGUUCUACAACUUGGUGAAAUUUCUGGGAUUCAGACUUUUCAUUCACAGACAGGUACCCUAAAAGUCAUUUCUCAGGGUUGCUGUGAACAAGCCUGAAGUAUGAUUCCCACUGUGCUAUAAAGUACAUGGUUAUGCCAACUCAUUGUGGGAAGGGUCACAAUAGAAAGGCACUAGUGUUCACAUGGCAUGUGUCUCGGGGUCUGGCAGAUGCUAAGUCAGCUCCUGAGAUGUGCUUUGAGACCCUCCUUUCUAUGAGGAAUGGGUGAAGCUGCCUUGGAACCCAAUCUCCCUCCACCUUUGUUAUUAUUUUUGAAGUAAUAAUGUUAACCUUUUGUUUUAAUUCCCUGGUUAUUCCCCUGGCUGCAGCUAGAGAUUUUAUCCUUUGGCAAAAGAAAGCAGUUUUAUUAGUGAAGCAAGCAGUUAAUUAAAAAGAAAAAUCAAAGGCUGGAGUUUGUUGGGGAAAACAACUGAAAUCAAACGCAGCAUGUCAAUCUUCAGCUCCUCCCAGCCCUGGCUCAGGCAGAUGGCGUGAACGCAGCGGGGACUCAGGGACACGUGAGCACAUGGUGCUCAUAAUGGCUGCAGCUCACUGUCUUCCAUGGAACCCAGAUCAUCUGUGACCCAAGUCAGACCUGACCUUGGCCUCAAUACUCCAUCACCAUGAGAAGCUGGAUUGUCUACCUUGAGCACAACCCUUUCUAGAGGGAGGAAAGACAUAGUCUUGCCAAAACUGCCUAAAGUCUCAGAAUUCAAUUAAAGUGGACUUAAUUUUAUAAUCAUCUGCACUAAGCUCAAACUGUAGGCUGGUAUAUUAAUUCACCAUUGAAACUCACAGUUGCAUGUGAUCUAGGUUAAAUGCUCCUGAGAGUUUAGGGUACAGGGAGGUGAACAUUUCUGCUUUCUUGCAAGCUGGCCCAGGAUUGCCCAGGACCCAUAGCCUCAGGAGCCUGACUGCAGAACCUGUGUAUAGCCUAGUCACUCUGACUGGCUCCAGGUGGGGAUUUAGAUUUUCUAUACCCCCCCCCCUUCCAUGCCAUAAGGAAACCAAAUUAAUUAUUUGGUCAGGCAGUCAUUUUUUUUAAAGAGGUCAGGCUACUGGUCAGGAGUCAGAGCCUGGUCCCCUUGGCUUUCUGGCUUAACAUUUAGCUCUCUUACCCCAAGAAAGGCUGAGUGAUUGGCUCCUGGUUCUACUCUGAUCUCUGGACACCACCUCUGCUCAUUUCCUGGCUCCUGCCAACCAUGGACUGGGCAUUUGUGCUUCCUUACCAGCUGUGGGCUGUCUCCUCCUCACCUGUCUUCAGGCACAGUGCUGGCAGGGCUUUGCUUCCCAGGCAAAGAUGUGGGUGCUGCACUCAGACCAUGCUCUUCUCUUAGCAAAUGCUAUCCUGGGCACUUUCAGCCACUGAUGAGCUUGUGUGGGCUGCCUGAGAUGCAGCUACAUAAAGGAGCCUGGACUGUGGGUACGGACAUUAGAAUUAGCGUUUGCAGCCAAACAAGGUCAUCUGCCUAAUUGUGUCAGGGCGUACAAGAGAUGUGUCGCUGUUAUCUGCAGCAAGCUUCCGCGCUGGGGCAAAGUUGUUCUGGGAUAAGGACGAGGAGUCACAGCAGACCAUGAUAACUGAACUCCUUGAUCUCUGUCUGGGUCUUCAGGGACUGAGGCUGUUAGUUGAGCAGGGCACAGUACUCAGGCAUCCUUUGGGACAGUGUGCUAUGCACCAAGACAGCCAAGCUCAGUAGAGCAGUGCUGGAGGCCUGUGGGUGCCUGGGUGGUUUGGGCACUGGAGUUCCUGAAUCCCUGAAAGGCAGACUAGAGCAGAAAGCAUUUAAUUCCUAAAGUCCAAGGUCACUCAACGUCCUGAUGGCACUGACUCUUCUUGUGGGGUGGGAGGGUGAGCCCUGUGAUCUCUGAAGCUGUGGGAGAGGAUGUGCAUGUUUCAUGCUCAUUGUUCUUCCUGCCUCUCAACCUCCCUUACCCUCAUGGAGCCCGAGGAGGGAGACCCCUGCCCCUGGGAUUCUAGUUCCAUCCAACGGUGGCAGGAUGUUCAUACCAGUCAUCAGCAGCAUCUUUGCCGCAAAUGGCUUGUGGAUAUUCCCAGUGCACCAUGACAUCCUCACGUUCUGGGGGUGAGCCAUGGUCCUUGCUUCAAAUGUUUUCUGUAUUGACCUGAACAGUGGACCAGGCUCUAGGCCUGACUCGUUCAAAUAGGAGUCAGUACUCACACACAGUUAUUCAGUCUAAAUUAAGUCAAACACUCAGUUCAUCAGAUUGCCCACAUUUCAAGUGGGUUUAGCUAGCCAUGACCAGGUGGUUAGUUAAGGGACAUUGAGGGACCAUUUCUGAUGAGAGGUCUAGCUUUGUUAGUUGGGGUGAGUUAAAUGUGUGUUUGAAUGUCUUCAAGGAUAGAAAGUAAUAAAAAGAAUGAGAAGAGUGAAUCACAUGCUAAGUAUUUCAGCCAUGGCAGCCAGAGAUGCCUUCACAGAAGAUGGAAGCCCUGACCAAGGCCGGGUGGAGUGUCGGGGCCAUAGGUUGGCAUUUGCCCUAUGCACGCAGUGCUGUGGUUCUGUGUGCAAGCUGUAGGCCCAGAGAAGACUGAUAGGAGGGCAAAUGCCGGGGCCUGUGGCUCUGCCAAGGAGCAUCACUCCCACUUACCUCCACACUGAGAACCUGGGUGAGUCAGGACAAGCCAUUGUACGCUAGGAGCUGCUGCAACAAUCACCAACCACUUAUAAAGCACUGUGUGCACAGGAAAUAAACUUUUCUGAACUGCUGGGGUCCUUUCUGUAAGUCAGUCAUAAAAUGUGGUCCUAUGAACCAAACCUCAGAGUAUCGGGUUAAGCAGAUGACCCAUCAGCAUCUCAGACUCCCUCCAUACAGACACAGCCUUGGGAUGUCAGAAUCUGCCGGGUGGAGAACAGUCAUGAGAUGCUGCUCCCCAGGCAUAUGCUACACCAAACUGGUGACUUUUGAGCCAAGAACUUCAGUAAUCUCUCCAUUUCCCACAGAUGCUGUGUGUGGGUCUCUUGUAUCUCUAACCCUCACCAGCUUCAGUGUCUCUUUCAGAAAGGAUCAGGAGGUGGCAGCUGGGAAUCCAAACCUGGCCCACACCUGGGAGAAGGAUAGGGACAGGUAUGCAAGCCACAUCAGAGACACUGGUAUAGAUUAGAUGCAUGACCCACAUCACCAACACUUGAACCAUCAAAGGUACACAAGUCAUGGUACAGAUGUAUUAGCCAUGUGGCAGGUGGUAUGCCACGGUACAAAUACAGGAGCUCUGUCACAGACAUAGUAAAGGAAGUAAGCAUGUCCUAGACAUGUGUGCCACAUCACAGAUAGUGUGCCAUGUCACAGAUGGUAAGCUACUGUACUGAUGUGGGAGCCAUGCCACAGACAUGCGACCCACAGUACAGAUACAUAAGCUGCGUGUGUCAUGGUUUUCCACCCUCUGUACCUGCUCACGGAAGCUAGGCUUUGCACUUCUUAUGGAACCAGCAUGAAUCCUGACUCAUUCUCUGAUGCUUUCUCCAUGACUCUCCUUGGACUGGCAUGAAGCACCUAGAGAACAAUCUUGCCUUGCAGGUGCUCUGAAGAUAGAGUGAUCAUAUCCCAGGAGCUGACUUUCCCUGAGCAUCCGGGUUUAUGUGGGUAUCUUUUCCUGUCAUGGCUGGAGCAAUCAGCUUAGGCAUGCCCACUGAAGCAGAAGCCCAAAGAUACUCCCACUCUUCCUGCCCAGAACCUUGGUCAGCUCCCAGACUCAGUCUGGCACCUAAAGCCAGACUUGAUCCACAUAUCAAAGUGGAAGUGGACCCAUGUGAUUGUUUCCCAAGCAUGUGACCUUCAUGGUUCACUUCCCACAAGGCACUCAGCAGUGUGUGACUACAAUCUCCAGGGGAAGCAGAACUUCAUCUAGUAAGUCCAAGGUCUCAUCUGCGUUGGCCAGUAAUUCCUUCUCCUUCCAGAUGGCAGCAUGGGCAUGAAGUAUCCAGCAUGUCCCAAAGUCCAGCCUUACACCUCAGGGAGGAGAAUUCUGCCUACUUCUCAUAGGGACCAACAUCAAGCACAAUGUGGAUAUCACAUGGACUGGUGAAAAUUAAUGAAAGGGUACCAUCGUCCUGGAAUCCUGCUGCUGGGCUAAGAGACCUGCCAUCACCACCAUCACCGUAACCAUCACUAUCACCACCUACGUAUUAGAUAGGUGACCUGAAACAGAUCUCGUUAUUUCACAAAUCUGUAAAAUGUACCUAUAACCAUAUUGCUCUUGUGGGACUUCUGUGAGUAAUUUGGGAUGUAAGAAUUUACAGUGAUGGCAUCAUCGUCACAAUCAUCGUCAACAUCAUGAUUCCAUCAUCCUCAUAGCGUCUUCAUCUUUACCAUAGUUACCACUACCACCAUUAUCACCAUCAAAACUGUCGUCACCACCCAUCAUUAUCAACAUCUUCACAUUCACUGUUACCUUUGCAAUGGUCACCAUGACCACUACCACCAUCAUCACCUUCACCAUCUUCAUCACCAACAUCACAAAUGUCACCAUCACCAGCAGCAGCAGCAGCAACUAUUGCUACAUGGAAGUUGUCAGACAAUGGGAGUUAUAGACUGGUGAUUUCUCCCAGGGACAACAGUGGAAUAAAGAUAUUCUCUAAACUAA